GAUGAACGCUGGCGGCGUGCUUAACACAUGCAAGUCGAACGGAAAGGCCACAGCUUGCUGUGGUACUCGAGUGGCGAACGGGUGAGUAACACGUGGGUGAUCUGCCCUGUACUUCGGGAUAAGCUUGGGAAACUGGGUCUAAUACCGGAUAGGAAUCACAUGUGGGUGUGUGGUUGGAAAGCUUUUGCGGUAUGGGAUGAGCUCGCGGCCUAUCAGCUUGUUGGUGGGGUAAUGGCCUACCAAGGCGUCGACGGGUAGCCGGCCUGGGAGGGUGGACGGGCACAUUGGGACUGAGAUACGGCCCAGACUCCUACGGGAGGCAGCAGGGGGGAAUAUUGCACAAUGGGCGCAAGCCUGAUGCAGCGACGCCGCGUGGGGGAUGACGGCCUUCGGGUUGUAAACUCCUUUCGUCAGGGACGAAGCGAAAGUGACGGUACCUGGAUAAGAAGCACCGGCUAACUACGUG
Molecule: ribosomal RNA, 466 nt
Filed under: uncultured bacterium
Lineage: Bacteria
Description: partial 16S ribosomal RNA
Rfam family: Bacterial small subunit ribosomal RNA
Source: RNAcentral